UUGCAUUGGUCCAAGCUAAAGACCAGGCUCCCCAAAGACCCAUAUCCUAGCCUCUUGGAGAGAGAACACGGCACAAGAUACAAGAAAAGAAAAGCUUACAGCACCUGGUAUUCCCAGGCGGUCUCCCAUCCAAGUACUAACCAGGCCCGACCCUGCUUAGCUUCCGAGAUCGGACGAGAUCGGGCGUGUUCAGGGUGGUAUGGCCGUAAGCGAUGACACAGGCUCCAAAUGAGCUAUUUGAACGUGCUCCUGUGUGGUUCUCUCAAUUAUAAUCAGCAUUUCACUUUCAAUGAACAAUGCGUCGCUCAAGAAAACACCCGGAUACGCAGUCAAGCUUAGUUUUACAGCCUAUCUCUGCAGUCCAUCAUGCUCCACUCCUUUGCUCCGCUUCAUGACAAGAUCUCAGUCCUCCCGCUCUUUGUGCUUUUUUGACUCUUUCUUUCAUUUAUCUUGAAGGCUCAUCUCCAAGUGUAUUUGCAUUGGUCCAAGCUAAAGACCAGGCUCCCCAAAGACCCAUAUCCUAGCCUCUUGGAGAGAGAACACGGCACAAGAUACAAGAAAAGAAAAGCUUACAGCACCUGGUAUUCCCAGGCGGUCUCCCAUCCAAGUACUAACCAGGCCCGACCCUGCUUAGCUUCCGAGAUCGGACGAGAUCGGGCGUGUUCAGGGUGGUAUGGCCGUAAGCGAUGACACAGGCUCCAAAUGAGCUAUUUGAACGUGCUCCUGUGUGGUUCUCUCAAUUAUAAUCAGCAUUUCACUUUCAAUGAACAAUGCGUCGCUCAAGAAAACACCCGGAUACGCAGUCAAGCUUAGUUUUACAGCCUAUCUCUGCAGUCCAUCAUGCUCCACUCCUUUGCUCCGCUUCAUGACAAGAUCUCAGUCCUCCCGCUCUUUGUGCUUUUUUGACUUUUCUUUCAUUUAUCUUGAAGGCUCAUCUCCAAGUGUAUUUGCAUUGGUCCAAGCUAAAGACCAGGCUCCCCAAAGACCCAUAUCCUAGCCUCUUGGAGAGAGAACACGGCACAAGAUACAAGAAAAGAAAAGCUUACAGCACCUGGUAUUCCCAGGCGGUCUCCCAUCCAAGUACUAACCAGGCCCGACCCUGCUUAGCUUCCGAGAUCGGACGAGAUCGGGCGUGUUCAGGGUGGUAUGGCCGUAAGCGAUGACACAGGCUCCAAAUGAGCUAUUUGAACGUGCUCCUGUGUGGUUCUCUCAAUUAUAAUCAGCAUUUCACUUUCAAUGAACAAUGCGUCGCUCAAGAAAACACCCGGAUACGCAGUCAAGCUUAGUUUUACAGCCUAUCUCUGCAGUCCAUCAUGCUCCACUCCUUUGCUCCGCUUCAUGACAAGAUCUCAGUCCUCCCGCUCUUUGUGCUUUUUUGACUCUUUCUUUCAUUUAUCUUGAAGGCUCAUCUCCAAGUGUAUUUGCAUUGGUCCAAGCUAAAGACCAGGCUCCCCAAAGACCCAUAUCCUAGCCUCUUGGAGAGAGAACACGGCACAAGAUACAAGAAAAGAAAAGCUUACAGCACCUGGUAUUCCCAGGCGGUCUCCCAUCCAAGUACUAACCAGGCCCGACCCUGCUUAGCUUCCGAGAUCGGACGAGAUCGGGCGUGUUCAGGGUGGUAUGGCCGUAAGCGAUGACACAGGCUCCAAAUGAGCUAUUUCAACGUGCUCCUGUGUGGUUCUCUCAAUUACAAUCAGCAUUUCACUUUCAAUGAACAAUGCGUCGCUCAAGAAAACACCCGGAUACGCAGUCAAGCUUAGUUUUACAGCCUAUCUCUGCAGUCCAUCAUGCUCCACUCCUUUGCUCCGCUUCAUGACAAGAUCUCAGUCCUCCCGCUCUUUGUGCUUUUUUGACUCUUUCUUUCAUUUAUCUUGAAGGCUCAUCUCCAAGUGUAUUUGCAUUGGUCCAAGCUAAAGACCAGGCUCCCCAAAGACCCAUAUCCUAGCCUCUUGGAGAGAGAACACGGCACAAGAUACAAGAAAAGAAAAGCUUACAGCACCUGGUAUUCCCAGGCGGUCUCCCAUCCAAGUACUAACCAGGCCCGACCCUGCUUAGCUUCCGAGAUCGGACGAGAUCGGGCGUGUUCAGGGUGGUAUGGCCGUAAGCGAUGACACAGGCUCCAAAUGAGCUAUUUGAACGUGCUCCUGUGUGGUUCUCUCAAUUAUAAUCAGCAUUUCACUUUCAAUGAACAAUGCGUCGCUCAAGAAAACACCCGGAUACGCAGUCAAGCUUAGUUUUACAGCCUAUCUCUGCAGUCCAUCAUGCUCCACUCCUUUGCUCCGCUUCAUGACAAGAUCUCAGUCCUCCCGCUCUUUGUGCUUUUUUGACUUUUUCUUUCAUUUAUCUUGAAGGCUCAUCUCCAAGUGUAUUUGCAUUGGUCCAAGCUAAAGACCAGGCUCCCCAAAGACCCAUAUCCUAGCCUCUUGGAGAGAGAACACGGCACAAGAUACAAGAAAAGAAAAGCUUACAGCACCUGGUAUUCCCAGGCGGUCUCCCAUCCAAGUACUAACCAGGCCCGACCCUGCUUAGCUUCCGAGAUCGGACGAGAUCGGGCGUGUUCAGGGUGGUAUGGCCGUAAGCGAUGACACAGGCUCCAAAUGAGCUAUUUCAACGUGCUCCUGUGUGGUUCUCUCAAUUAUAAUCAGCAUUUCACUUUCAAUGAACAAUGCGUCGCUCAAGAAAACACCCGGAUACGCAGUCAAGCUUAGUUUUACAGCCUAUCUCUGCAGUCCAUCAUGCUCCACUCCUUUGCUCCGCUUCAUGACAAGAUCUCAGUCCUCCCGCUCUUUGUGCUUUUUUGACUCUUUCUUUCAUUUAUCUUGAAGGCUCAUCUCCAAGUGUAUUUGCAUUGGUCCAAGCUAAAGACCAGGCUCCCCAAAGACCCAUAUCCUAGCCUCUUGGAGAGAGAACACGGCACAAGAUACAAGAAAAGAAAAGCUUACAGCACCUGGUAUUCCCAGGCGGUCUCCCAUCCAAGUACUAACCAGGCCCGACCCUGCUUAGCUUCCGAGAUCGGACGAGAUCGGGCGUGUUCAGGGUGGUAUGGCCGUAAGCGAUGACACAGGCUCCAAAUGAGCUAUUUGAACGUGCUCCUGUGUGGUUCUCUCAAUUAUAAUCAGCAUUUCACUUUCAAUGAACAAUGCGUCGCUCAAGAAAACACCCGGAUACGCAGUCAAGCUUAGUUUUACAGCCUAUCUCUGCAGUCCAUCAUGCUCCACUCCUUUGCUCCGCUUCAUGACAAGAUCUCAGUCCUCCCGCUCUUUGUGCUUUUUUGACUCUUUCUUUCAUUUAUCUUGAAGGCUCAUCUCCAAGUGUAUUUGCAUUGGUCCAAGCUAAAGACCAGGCUCCCCAAAGACCCAUAUCCUAGCCUCUUGGAGAGAGAACACGGCACAAGAUACAAGAAAAGAAAAGCUUACAGCACCUGGUAUUCCCAGGCGGUCUCCCAUCCAAGUACUAACCAGGCCCGACCCUGCUUAGCUUCCGAGAUCGGACGAGAUCGGGCGUGUUCAGGGUGGUAUGGCCGUAAGCGAUGACACAGGCUCCAAAUGAGCUAUUUCAACGUGCUCCUGUGUGGUUCUCUCAAUUAUAAUCAGCAUUUCACUUUCAAUGAACAAUGCGUCGCUCAAGAAAACACCCGGAUACGCAGUCAAGCUUAGUUUUACAGCCUAUCUCUGCAGUCCAUCAUGCUCCACUCCUUUGCUCCGCUUCAUGACAAGAUCUCAGUCCUCCCGCUCUUUGUGCUUUUUUGACUCUUUCUUUCAUUUAUCUUGAAGGCUCAUCUCCAAGUGUAUUUGCAUUGGUCCAAGCUAAAGACCAGGCUCCCCAAAGACCCAUAUCCUAGCCUCUUGGAGAGAGAACACGGCACAAGAUACAAGAAAAGAAAAGCUUACAGCACCUGGUAUUCCCAGGCGGUCUCCCAUCCAAGUACUAACCAGGCCCGACCCUGCUUAGCUUCCGAGAUCGGACGAGAUCGGGCGUGUUCAGGGUGGUAUGGCCGUAAGCGAUGACACAGGCUCCAAAUGAGCUAUUUCAACGUGCUCCUGUGUGGUUCUCUCAAUUAUAAUCAGCAUUUCACUUUCAAUGAACAAUGCGUCGCUCAAGAAAACACCCGGAUACGCAGUCAAGCUUAGUUUUACAGCCUAUCUCUGCAGUCCAUCAUGCUCCACUCCUUUGCUCCGCUUCAUGACAAGAUCUCAGUCCUCCCGCUCUUUGUGCUUUUUUGACUCUUUCUUUCAUUUAUCUUGAAGGCUCAUCUCCAAGUGUAUUUGCAUUGGUCCAAGCUAAAGACCAGGCUCCCCAAAGACCCAUAUCCUAGCCUCUUGGAGAGAGAACACGGCACAAGAUACAAGAAAAGAAAAGCUUACAGCACCUGGUAUUCCCAGGCGGUCUCCCAUCCAAGUACUAACCAGGCCCGACCCUGCUUAGCUUCCGAGAUCGGACGAGAUCGGGCGUGUUCAGGGUGGUAUGGCCGUAAGCGAUGACACAGGCUCCAAAUGAGCUAUUUGAACGUGCUCCUGUGUGGUUCUCUCAAUUAUAAUCAGCAUUUCACUUUCAAUGAACAAUGCGUCGCUCAAGAAAACACCCGGAUACGCAGUCAAGCUUAGUUUUACAGCCUAUCUCUGCAGUCCAUCAUGCUCCACUCCUUUGCUCCGCUUCAUGACAAGAUCUCAGUCCUCCCGCUCUUUGUGCUUUUUUGACUCUUUCUUUCAUUUAUCUUGAAGGCUCAUCUCCAAGUGUAUUUGCAUUGGUCCAAGCUAAAGACCAGGCUCCCCAAAGACCCAUAUCCUAGCCUCUUGGAGAGAGAACACGGCACAAGAUACAAGAAAAGAAAAGCUUACAGCACCUGGUAUUCCCAGGCGGUCUCCCAUCCAAGUACUAACCAGGCCCGACCCUGCUUAGCUUCCGAGAUCGGACGAGAUCGGGCGUGUUCAGGGUGGUAUGGCCGUAAGCGAUGACACAGGCUCCAAAUGAGCUAUUUGAACGUGCUCCUGUGUGGUUCUCUCAAUUAUAAUCAGCAUUUCACUUUCAAUGAACAAUGCGUCGCUCAAGAAAACACCCGGAUACGCAGUCAAGCUUAGUUUUACAGCCUAUCUCUGCAGUCCAUCAUGCUCCACUCCUUUGCUCCGCUUCAUGACAAGAUCUCAGUCCUCCCGCUCUUUGUGCUUUUUUGACUUUUUCUUUCAUUUAUCUUGAAGGCUCAUCUCCAAGUGUAUUUGCAUUGGUCCAAGCUAAAGACCAGGCUCCCCAAAGACCCAUAUCCUAGCCUCUUGGAGAGAGAACACGGCACAAGAUACAAGAAAAGAAAAGCUUACAGCACCUGGUAUUCCCAGGCGGUCUCCCAUCCAAGUACUAACCAGGCCCGACCCUGCUUAGCUUCCGAGAUCGGACGAGAUCGGGCGUGUUCAGGGUGGUAUGGCCGUAAGCGAUGACACAGGCUCCAAAUGAGCUAUUUCAACGUGCUCCUGUGUGGUUCUCUCAAUUAUAAUCAGCAUUUCACUUUCAAUGAACAAUGCGUCGCUCAAGAAAACACCCGGAUACGCAGUCAAGCUUAGUUUUACAGCCUAUCUCUGCAGUCCAUCAUGCUCCACUCCUUUGCUCCGCUUCAUGACAAGAUCUCAGUCCUCCCGCUCUUUGUGCUUUUUGACUCUUUCUUUCAUUUAUCUUGAAGGCUCAUCUCCAAGUGUAUUUGCAUUGGUCCAAGCUAAAGACCAGGCUCCCCAAAGACCCAUAUCCUAGCCUCUUGGAGAGAGAACACGGCACAAGAUACAAGAAAAGAAAAGCUUACAGCACCUGGUAUUCCCAGGCGGUCUCCCAUCCAAGUACUAACCAGGCCCGACCCUGCUUAGCUUCCGAGAUCGGACGAGAUCGGGCGUGUUCAGGGUGGUAUGGCCGUAAGCGAUGACACAGGCUCCAAAUGAGCUAUUUCAACGUGCUCCUGUGUGGUUCUCUCAAUUAUAAUCAGCAUUUCACUUUCAAUGAACAAUGCGUCGCUCAAGAAAACACCCGGAUACGCAGUCAAGCUUAGUUUUACAGCCUAUCUCUGCAGUCCAUCAUGCUCCACUCCUUUGCUCCGCUUCAUGACAAGAUCUCAGUCCUCCCGCUCUUUGUGCUUUUUUGACUCUUUCUUUCAUUUAUCUUGAAGGCUCAUCUCCAAGUGUAUUUGCAUUGGUCCAAGCUAAAGACCAGGCUCCCCAAAGACCCAUAUCCUAGCCUCUUGGAGAGAGAACACGGCACAAGAUACAAGAAAAGAAAAGCUUACAGCACCUGGUAUUCCCAGGCGGUCUCCCAUCCAAGUACUAACCAGGCCCGACCCUGCUUAGCUUCCGAGAUCGGACGAGAUCGGGCGUGUUCAGGGUGGUAUGGCCGUAAGCGAUGACACAGGCUCCAAAUGAGCUAUUUGAACGUGCUCCUGUGUGGUUCUCUCAAUUAUAAUCAGCAUUUCACUUUCAAUGAACAAUGCGUCGCUCAAGAAAACACCCGGAUACGCAGUCAAGCUUAGUUUUACAGCCUAUCUCUGCAGUCCAUCAUGCUCCACUCCUUUGCUCCGCUUCAUGACAAGAUCUCAGUCCUCCCGCUCUUUGUGCUUUUUUGACUCUUUCUUUCAUUUAUCUUGAAGGCUCAUCUCCAAGUGUAUUUGCAUUGGUCCAAGCUAAAGACCAGGCUCCCCAAAGACCCAUAUCCUAGCCUCUUGGAGAGAGAACACGGCACAAGAUACAAGAAAAGAAAAGCUUACAGCACCUGGUAUUCCCAGGCGGUCUCCCAUCCAAGUACUAACCAGGCCCGACCCUGCUUAGCUUCCGAGAUCGGACGAGAUCGGGCGUGUUCAGGGUGGUAUGGCCGUAAGCGAUGACACAGGCUCCAAAUGAGCUAUUUCAACGUGCUCCUGUGUGGUUCUCUCAAUUAUAAUCAGCAUUUCACUUUCAAUGAACAAUGCGUCGCUCAAGAAAACACCCGGAUACGCAGUCAAGCUUAGUUUUACAGCCUAUCUCUGCAGUCCAUCAUGCUCCACUCCUUUGCUCCGCUUCAUGACAAGAUCUCAGUCCUCCCGCUCUUUGUGCUUUUUUGACUUUUUCUUUCAUUUAUCUUGAAGGCUCAUCUCCAAGUGUAUUUGCAUUGGUCCAAGCUAAAGACCAGGCUCCCCAAAGACCCAUAUCCUAGCCUCUUGGAGAGAGAACACGGCACAAGAUACAAGAAAAGAAAAGCUUACAGCACCUGGUAUUCCCAGGCGGUCUCCCAUCCAAGUACUAACCAGGCCCGACCCUGCUUAGCUUCCGAGAUCGGACGAGAUCGGGCGUGUUCAGGGUGGUAUGGCCGUAAGCGAUGACACAGGCUCCAAAUGAGCUAUUUCAACGUGCUCCUGUGUGGUUCUCUCAAUUAUAAUCAGCAUUUCACUUUCAAUGAACAAUGCGUCGCUCAAGAAAACACCCGGAUACGCAGUCAAGCUUAGUUUUACAGCCUAUCUCUGCAGUCCAUCAUGCUCCACUCCUUUGCUCCGCUUCAUGACAAGAUCUCAGUCCUCCCGCUCUUUGUGCUUUUUUGACUCUUUCUUUCAUUUAUCUUGAAGGCUCAUCUCCAAGUGUAUUUGCAUUGGUCCAAGCUAAAGACCAGGCUCCCCAAAGACCCAUAUCCUAGCCUCUUGGAGAGAGAACACGGCACAAGAUACAAGAAAAGAAAAGCUUACAGCACCUGGUAUUCCCAGGCGGUCUCCCAUCCAAGUACUAACCAGGCCCGACCCUGCUUAGCUUCCGAGAUCGGACGAGAUCGGGCGUGUUCAGGGUGGUAUGGCCGUAAGCGAUGACACAGGCUCCAAAUGAGCUAUUUCAACGUGCUCCUGUGUGGUUCUCUCAAUUAUAAUCAGCAUUUCACUUUCAAUGAACAAUGCGUCGCUCAAGAAAACACCCGGAUACGCAGUCAAGCUUAGUUUUACAGCCUAUCUCUGCAGUCCAUCAUGCUCCACUCCUUUGCUCCGCUUCAUGACAAGAUCUCAGUCCUCCCGCUCUUUGUGCUUUUUUGACUCUUUCUUUCAUUUAUCUUGAAGGCUCAUCUCCAAGUGUAUUUGCAUUGGUCCAAGCUAAAGACCAGGCUCCCCAAAGACCCAUAUCCUAGCCUCUUGGAGAGAGAACACGGCACAAGAUACAAGAAAAGAAAAGCUUACAGCACCUGGUAUUCCCAGGCGGUCUCCCAUCCAAGUACUAACCAGGCCCGACCCUGCUUAGCUUCCGAGAUCGGACGAGAUCGGGCGUGUUCAGGGUGGUAUGGCCGUAAGCGAUGACACAGGCUCCAAAUGAGCUAUUUGAACGUGCUCCUGUGUGGUUCUCUCAAUUAUAAUCAGCAUUUCACUUUCAAUGAACAAUGCGUCGCUCAAGAAAACACCCGGAUACGCAGUCAAGCUUAGUUUUACAGCCUAUCUCUGCAGUCCAUCAUGCUCCACUCCUUUGCUCCGCUUCAUGACAAGAUCUCAGUCCUCCCGCUCUUUGUGCUUUUUUGACUUUUUCUUUCAUUUAUCUUGAAGGCUCAUCUCCAAGUGUAUUUGCAUUGGUCCAAGCUAAAGACCAGGCUCCCCAAAGACCCAUAUCCUAGCCUCUUGGAGAGAGAACACGGCACAAGAUACAAGAAAAGAAAAGCUUACAGCACCUGGUAUUCCCAGGCGGUCUCCCAUCCAAGUACUAACCAGGCCCGACCCUGCUUAGCUUCCGAGAUCGGACGAGAUCGGGCGUGUUCAGGGUGGUAUGGCCGUAAGCGAUGACACAGGCUCCAAAUGAGCUAUUUCAACGUGCUCCUGUGUGGUUCUCUCAAUUAUAAUCAGCAUUUCACUUUCAAUGAACAAUGCGUCGCUCAAGAAAACACCCGGAUACGCAGUCAAGCUUAGUUUUACAGCCUAUCUCUGCAGUCCAUCAUGCUCCACUCCUUUGCUCCGCUUCAUGACAAGAUCUCAGUCCUCCCGCUCUUUGUGCUUUUUUGACUCUUUCUUUCAUUUAUCUUGAAGGCUCAUCUCCAAGUGUAUUUGCAUUGGUCCAAGCUAAAGACCAGGCUCCCCAAAGACCCAUAUCCUAGCCUCUUGGAGAGGGAAUACGGCACAAGAUACAAGAAAAGAAAAGCUUACAGCACCUGGUAUUCCCAGGCGGUCUCCCAUCCAAGUACUAACCAGGCCCGACCCUGCUUAGCUUCCGAGAUCGGACGAGAUCGGGCGUGUUCAGGGUGGUAUGGCCGUAAGCGAUGACACAGGCUCCAAAUGAGCUAUUUGAACGUGCUCCUGUGUGGUUCUCUCAAUUAUAAUCAGCAUUUCACUUUCAAUGAACAAUGCGUCGCUCAAGAAAACACCCGGAUACGCAGUCAAGCUUAGUUUUACAGCCUAUCUCUGCAGUCCAUCAUGCUCCACUCCUUUGCUCCGCUUCAUGACAAGAUCUCAGUCCUCCCGCUCUUUGUGCUUUUUUGACUCUUUCUUUCAUUUAUCUUGAAGGCUCAUCUCCAAGUGUAUUUGCAUUGGUCCAAGCUAAAGACCAGGCUCCCCAAAGACCCAUAUCCUAGCCUCUUGGAGAGAGAACACGGCACAAGAUACAAGAAAAGAAAAGCUUACAGCACCUGGUAUUCCCAGGCGGUCUCCCAUCCAAGUACUAACCAGGCCCGACCCUGCUUAGCUUCCGAGAUCGGACGAGAUCGGGCGUGUUCAGGGUGGUAUGGCCGUAAGCGAUGACACAGGCUCCAAAUGAGCUAUUUGAACGUGCUCCUGUGUGGUUCUCUCAAUUAUAAUCAGCAUUUCACUUUCAAUGAACAAUGCGUCGCUCAAGAAAACACCCGGAUACGCAGUCAAGCUUAGUUUUACAGCCUAUCUCUGCAGUCCAUCAUGCUCCACUCCUUUGCUCCGCUUCAUGACAAGAUCUCAGUCCUCCCGCUCUUUGUGCUUUUUUGACUCUUUCUUUCAUUUAUCUUGAAGGCUCAUCUCCAAGUGUAUUUGCAUUGGUCCAAGCUAAAGACCAGGCUCCCCAAAGACCCAUAUCCUAGCCUCUUGGAGAGAGAACACGGCACAAGAUACAAGAAAAGAAAAGCUUACAGCACCUGGUAUUCCCAGGCGGUCUCCCAUCCAAGUACUAACCAGGCCCGACCCUGCUUAGCUUCCGAGAUCGGACGAGAUCGGGCGUGUUCAGGGUGGUAUGGCCGUAAGCGAUGACACAGGCUCCAAAUGAGCUAUUUCAACGUGCUCCUGUGUGGUUCUCUCAAUUAUAAUCAGCAUUUCACUUUCAAUGAACAAUGCGUCGCUCAAGAAAACACCCGGAUACGCAGUCAAGCUUAGUUUUACAGCCUAUCUCUGCAGUCCAUCAUGCUCCACUCCUUUGCUCCGCUUCAUGACAAGAUCUCAGUCCUCCCGCUCUUUGUGCUUUUUUGACUCUUUCUUUCAUUUAUCUUGAAGGCUCAUCUCCAAGUGUAUUUGCAUUGGUCCAAGCUAAAGACCAGGCUCCCCAAAGACCCAUAUCCUAGCCUCUUGGAGAGAGAACACGGCACAAGAUACAAGAAAAGAAAAGCUUACAGCACCUGGUAUUCCCAGGCGGUCUCCCAUCCAAGUACUAACCAGGCCCGACCCUGCUUAGCUUCCGAGAUCGGACGAGAUCGGGCGUGUUCAGGGUGGUAUGGCCGUAAGCGAUGACACAGGCUCCAAAUGAGCUAUUUGAACGUGCUCCUGUGUGGUUCUCUCAAUUAUAAUCAGCAUUUCACUUUCAAUGAACAAUGCGUCGCUCAAGAAAACACCCGGAUACGCAGUCAAGCUUAGUUUUACAGCCUAUCUCUGCAGUCCAUCAUGCUCCACUCCUUUGCUCCGCUUCAUGACAAGAUCUCAGUCCUCCCGCUCUUUGUGCUUUUUUGACUCUUUCUUUCAUUUAUCUUGAAGGCUCAUCUCCAAGUGUAUUUGCAUUGGUCCAAGCUAAAGACCAGGCUCCCCAAAGACCCAUAUCCUAGCCUCUUGGAGAGAGAACACGGCACAAGAUACAAGAAAAGAAAAGCUUACAGCACCUGGUAUUCCCAGGCGGUCUCCCAUCCAAGUACUAACCAGGCCCGACCCUGCUUAGCUUCCGAGAUCGGACGAGAUCGGGCGUGUUCAGGGUGGUAUGGCCGUAAGCGAUGACACAGGCUCCAAAUGAGCUAUUUCAACGUGCUCCUGUGUGGUUCUCUCAAUUAUAAUCAGCAUUUCACUUUCAAUGAACAAUGCGUCGCUCAAGAAAACACCCGGAUACGCAGUCAAGCUUAGUUUUACAGCCUAUCUCUGCAGUCCAUCAUGCUCCACUCCUUUGCUCCGCUUCAUGACAAGAUCUCAGUCCUCCCGCUCUUUGUGCUUUUUUGACUUUUUCUUUCAUUUAUCUUGAAGGCUCAUCUCCAAGUGUAUUUGCAUUGGUCCAAGCUAAAGACCAGGCUCCCCAAAGACCCAUAUCCUAGCCUCUUGGAGAGAGAACACGGCACAAGAUACAAGAAAAGAAAAGCUUACAGCACCUGGUAUUCCCAGGCGGUCUCCCAUCCAAGUACUAACCAGGCCCGACCCUGCUUAGCUUCCGAGAUCGGACGAGAUCGGGCGUGUUCAGGGUGGUAUGGCCGUAAGCGAUGACACAGGCUCCAAAUGAGCUAUUUCAACGUGCUCCUGUGUGGUUCUCUCAAUUAUAAUCAGCAUUUCACUUUCAAUGAACAAUGCGUCGCUCAAGAAAACACCCGGAUACGCAGUCAAGCUUAGUUUUACAGCCUAUCUCUGCAGUCCAUCAUGCUCCACUCCUUUGCUCCGCUUCAUGACAAGAUCUCAGUCCUCCCGCUCUUUGUGCUUUUUUGACUUUUUCUUUCAUUUAUCUUGAAGGCUCAUCUCCAAGUGUAUUUGCAUUGGUCCAAGCUAAAGACCAGGCUCCCCAAAGACCCAUAUCCUAGCCUCUUGGAGAGAGAACACGGCACAAGAUACAAGAAAAGAAAAGCUUACAGCACCUGGUAUUCCCAGGCGGUCUCCCAUCCAAGUACUAACCAGGCCCGACCCUGCUUAGCUUCCGAGAUCGGACGAGAUCGGGCGUGUUCAGGGUGGUAUGGCCGUAAGCGAUGACACAGGCUCCAAAUGAGCUAUUUGAACGUGCUCCUGUGUGGUUCUCUCAAUUAUAAUCAGCAUUUCACUUUCAAUGAACAAUGCGUCGCUCAAGAAAACACCCGGAUACGCAGUCAAGCUUAGUUUUACAGCCUAUCUCUGCAGUCCAUCAUGCUCCACUCCUUUGCUCCGCUUCAUGACAAGAUCUCAGUCCUCCCGCUCUUUGUGCUUUUUUGACUCUUUCUUUCAUUUAUCUUGAAGGCUCAUCUCCAAGUGUAUUUGCAUUGGUCCAAGCUAAAGACCAGGCUCCCCAAAGACCCAUAUCCUAGCCUCUUGGAGAGAGAACACGGCACAAGAUACAAGAAAAGAAAAGCUUACAGCACCUGGUAUUCCCAGGCGGUCUCCCAUCCAAGUACUAACCAGGCCCGACCCUGCUUAGCUUCCGAGAUCGGACGAGAUCGGGCGUGUUCAGGGUGGUAUGGCCGUAAGCGAUGACACAGGCUCCAAAUGAGCUAUUUCAACGUGCUCCUGUGUGGUUCUCUCAAUUAUAAUCAGCAUUUCACUUUCAAUGAACAAUGCGUCGCUCAAGAAAACACCCGGAUACGCAGUCAAGCUUAGUUUUACAGCCUAUCUCUGCAGUCCAUCAUGCUCCACUCCUUUGCUCCGCUUCAUGACAAGAUCUCAGUCCUCCCGCUCUUUGUGCUUUUUUGACUCUUUCUUUCAUUUAUCUUGAAGGCUCAUCUCCAAGUGUAUUUGCAUUGGUCCAAGCUAAAGACCAGGCUCCCCAAAGACCCAUAUCCUAGCCUCUUGGAGAGAGAACACGGCACAAGAUACAAGAAAAGAAAAGCUUACAGCACCUGGUAUUCCCAGGCGGUCUCCCAUCCAAGUACUAACCAGGCCCGACCCUGCUUAGCUUCCGAGAUCGGACGAGAUCGGGCGUGUUCAGGGUGGUAUGGCCGUAAGCGAUGACACAGGCUCCAAAUGAGCUAUUUCAACGUGCUCCUGUGUGGUUCUCUCAAUUAUAAUCAGCAUUUCACUUUCAAUGAACAAUGCGUCGCUCAAGAAAACACCCGGAUACGCAGUCAAGCUUAGUUUUACAGCCUAUCUCUGCAGUCCAUCAUGCUCCACUCCUUUGCUCCGCUUCAUGACAAGAUCUCAGUCCUCCCGCUCUUUGUGCUUUUUUGACUCUUUCUUUCAUUUAUCUUGAAGGCUCAUCUCCAAGUGUAUUUGCAUUGGUCCAAGCUAAAGACCAGGCUCCCCAAAGACCCAUAUCCUAGCCUCUUGGAGAGAGAACACGGCACAAGAUACAAGAAAAGAAAAGCUUACAGCACCUGGUAUUCCCAGGCGGUCUCCCAUCCAAGUACUAACCAGGCCCGACCCUGCUUAGCUUCCGAGAUCGGACGAGAUCGGGCGUGUUCAGGGUGGUAUGGCCGUAAGCGAUGACACAGGCUCCAAAUGAGCUAUUUCAACGUGCUCCUGUGUGGUUCUCUCAAUUAUAAUCAGCAUUUCACUUUCAAUGAACAAUGCGUCGCUCAAGAAAACACCCGGAUACGCAGUCAAGCUUAGUUUUACAGCCUAUCUCUGCAGUCCAUCAUGCUCCACUCCUUUGCUCCGCUUCAUGACAAGAUCUCAGUCCUCCCGCUCUUUGUGCUUUUUUGACUCUUUCUUUCAUUUAUCUUGAAGGCUCAUCUCCAAGUGUAUUUGCAUUGGUCCAAGCUAAAGACCAGGCUCCCCAAAGACCCAUAUCCUAGCCUCUUGGAGAGAGAACACGGCACAAGAUACAAGAAAAGAAAAGCUUACAGCACCUGGUAUUCCCAGGCGGUCUCCCAUCCAAGUACUAACCAGGCCCGACCCUGCUUAGCUUCCGAGAUCGGACGAGAUCGGGCGUGUUCAGGGUGGUAUGGCCGUAAGCGAUGACACAGGCUCCAAAUGAGCUAUUUCAACGUGCUCCUGUGUGGUUCUCUCAAUUAUAAUCAGCAUUUCACUUUCAAUGAACAAUGCGUCGCUCAAGAAAACACCCGGAUACGCAGUCAAGCUUAGUUUUACAGCCUAUCUCUGCAGUCCAUCAUGCUCCACUCCUUUGCUCCGCUUCAUGACAAGAUCUCAGUCCUCCCGCUCUUUGUGCUUUUUUGACUCUUUCUUUCAUUUAUCUUGAAGGCUCAUCUCCAAGUGUAUUUGCAUUGGUCCAAGCUAAAGACCAGGCUCCCCAAAGACCCAUAUCCUAGCCUCUUGGAGAGAGAACACGGCACAAGAUACAAGAAAAGAAAAGCUUACAGCACCUGGUAUUCCCAGGCGGUCUCCCAUCCAAGUACUAACCAGGCCCGACCCUGCUUAGCUUCCGAGAUCGGACGAGAUCGGGCGUGUUCAGGGUGGUAUGGCCGUAAGCGAUGACACAGGCUCCAAAUGAGCUAUUUCAACGUGCUCCUGUGUGGUUCUCUCAAUUAUAAUCAGCAUUUCACUUUCAAUGAACAAUGCGUCGCUCAAGAAAACACCCGGAUACGCAGUCAAGCUUAGUUUUACAGCCUAUCUCUGCAGUCCAUCAUGCUCCACUCCUUUGCUCCACUUCAUGACAAGAUCUCAGUCCUCCCGCUCUUUGUGCUUUUUUGACUCUUUCUUUCAUUUAUCUUGAAGGCUCAUCUCCAAGUGUAUUUGCAUUGGUCCAAGCUAAAGACCAGGCUCCCCAAAGACCCAUAUCCUAGCCUCUUGGAGAGAGAACACGGCACAAGAUACAAGAAAAGAAAAGCUUACAGCACCUGGUAUUCCCAGGCGGUCUCCCAUCCAAGUACUAACCAGGCCCGACCCUGCUUAGCUUCCGAGAUCGGACGAGAUCGGGCGUGUUCAGGGUGGUAUGGCCGUAAGCGAUGACACAGGCUCCAAAUGAGCUAUUUCAACGUGCUCCUGUGUGGUUCUCUCAAUUAUAAUCAGCAUUUCACUUUCAAUGAACAAUGCGUCGCUCAAGAAAACACCCGGAUACGCAGUCAAGCUUAGUUUUACAGCCUAUCUCUGCAGUCCAUCAUGCUCCACUCCUUUGCUCCGCUUCAUGACAAGAUCUCAGUCCUCCCGCUCUUUGUGCUUUUUUGACCUUUUCUUUCAUUUAUCUUGAAGGCUCAUCUCCAAGUGUAUUUGCAUUGGUCCAAGCUAAAGACCAGGCUCCCCAAAGACCCAUAUCCUAGCCUCUUGGAGAGAGAACACGGCACAAGAUACAAGAAAAGAAAAGCUUACAGCACCUGGUAUUCCCAGGCGGUCUCCCAUCCAAGUACUAACCAGGCCCGACCCUGCUUAGCUUCCGAGAUCGGACGAGAUCGGGCGUGUUCAGGGUGGUAUGGCCGUAAGCGAUGACACAGGCUCCAAAUGAGCUAUUUCAACGUGCUCCUGUGUGGUUCUCUCAAUUAUAAUCAGCAUUUCACUUUCAAUGAACAAUGCGUCGCUCAAGAAAACACCCGGAUACGCAGUCAAGCUUAGUUUUACAGCCUAUCUCUGCAGUCCAUCAUGCUCCACUCCUUUGCUCCGCUUCAUGACAAGAUCUCAGUCCUCCCGCUCUUUGUGCUUUUUUGACUCUUUCUUUCAUUUAUCUUGAAGGCUCAUCUCCAAGUGUAUUUGCAUUGGUCCAAGCUAAAGACCAGGCUCCCCAAAGACCCAUAUCCUAGCCUCUUGGAGAGAGAACACGGCACAAGAUACAAGAAAAGAAAAGCUUACAGCACCUGGUAUUCCCAGGCGGUCUCCCAUCCAAGUACUAACCAGGCCCGACCCUGCUUAGCUUCCGAGAUCGGACGAGAUCGGGCGUGUUCAGGGUGGUAUGGCCGUAAGCGAUGACACAGGCUCCAAAUGAGCUAUUUCAACGUGCUCCUGUGUGGUUCUCUCAAUUAUAAUCAGCAUUUCACUUUCAAUGAACAAUGCGUCGCUCAAGAAAACACCCGGAUACGCAGUCAAGCUUAGUUUUACAGCCUAUCUCUGCAGUCCAUCAUGCUCCACUCCUUUGCUCCGCUUCAUGACAAGAUCUCAGUCCUCCCGCUCUUUGUGCUUUUUUGACUCUUUCUUUCAUUUAUCUUGAAGGCUCAUCUCCAAGUGUAUUUGCAUUGGUCCAAGCUAAAGACCAGGCUCCCCAAAGACCCAUAUCCUAGCCUCUUGGAGAGAGAACACGGCACAAGAUACAAGAAAAGAAAAGCUUACAGCACCUGGUAUUCCCAGGCGGUCUCCCAUCCAAGUACUAACCAGGCCCGACCAUGCUUAGCUUCCGAGAUCGGACGAGAUCGGGCGUGUUCAGGGUGGUAUGGCCGUAAGCGAUGACACAGGCUCCAAAUGAGCUAUUUCAACGUGCUCCUGUGUGGUUCUCUCAAUUAUAAUCAGCAUUUCACUUUCAAUGAACAAUGCGUCGCUCAAGAAAACACCCGGAUACGCAGUCAAGCUUAGUUUUACAGCCUAUCUCUGCAGUCCAUCAUGCUCCACUCCUUUGCUCCACUUCAUCACAAGAUCUCAGUCCUCCCGCUCUUUGUGCUUUUUUGACUCUUUCUUUCAUUUAUCUUGAAGGCUCAUCUCCAAGUGUAUUUGCAUUGGUCCAAGCUAAAGACCAGGCUCCCCAAAGACCCAUAUCCUAGCCUCUUGGAGAGAGAACACGGCACAAGAUACAAGAAAAGAAAAGCUUACAGCACCUGGUAUUCCCAGGCGGUCUCCCAUCCAAGUACUAACCAGGCCCGACCCUGCUUAGCUUCCGAGAUCGGACGAGAUCGGGCGUGUUCAGGGUGGUAUGGCCGUAAGCGAUGACACAGGCUCCAAAUGAGCUAUUUCAACGUGCUCCUGUGUGGUUCUCUCAAUUAUAAUCAGCAUUUCACUUUCAAUGAACAAUGCGUCGCUCAAGAAAACACCCGGAUACGCAGUCAAGCUUAGUUUUACAGCCUAUCUCUGCAGUCCAUCAUGCUCCACUCCUUUGCUCCGCUUCAUGACAAGAUCUCAGUCCUCCCGCUCUUUGUGCUUUUUUGACUCUUUCUUUCAUUUAUCUUGAAGGCUCAUCUCCAAGUGUAUUUGCAUUGGUCCAAGCUAAAGACCAGGCUCCCCAAAGACCCAUAUCCUAGCCUCUUGGAGAGAGAACACGGCACAAGAUACAAGAAAAGAAAAGCUUACAGCACCUGGUAUUCCCAGGCGGUCUCCCAUCCAAGUACUAACCAGGCCCGACCCUGCUUAGCUUCCGAGAUCGGACGAGAUCGGGCGUGUUCAGGGUGGUAUGGCCGUAAGCGAUGACACAGGCUCCAAAUGAGCUAUUUCAACGUGCUCCUGUGUGGUUCUCUCAAUUAUAAUCAGCAUUUCACUUUCAAUGAACAAUGCGUCGCUCAAGAAAACACCCGGAUACGCAGUCAAGCUUAGUUUUACAGCCUAUCUCUGCAGUCCAUCAUGCUCCACUCCUUUGCUCCGCUUCAUGACAAGAUCUCAGUCCUCCCGCUCUUUGUGCUUUUUUGACUCUUUCUUUCAUUUAUCUUGAAGGCUCAUCUCCAAGUGUAUUUGCAUUGGUCCAAGCUAAAGACCAGGCUCCCCAAAGACCCAUAUCCUAGCCUCUUGGAGAGAGAACACGGCACAAGAUACAAGAAAAGAAAAGCUUACAGCACCUGGUAUUCCCAGGCGGUCUCCCAUCCAAGUACUAACCAGGCCCGACCCUGCUUAGCUUCCGAGAUCGGACGAGAUCGGGCGUGUUCAGGGUGGUAUGGCCGUAAGCGAUGACACAGGCUCCAAAUGAGCUAUUUCAACGUGCUCCUGUGUGGUUCUCUCAAUUAUAAUCAGCAUUUCACUUUCAAUGAACAAUGCGUCGCUCAAGAAAACACCCGGAUACGCAGUCAAGCUUAGUUUUACAGCCUAUCUCUGCAGUCCAUCAUGCUCCACUCCUUUGCUCCGCUUCAUGACAAGAUCUCAGUCCUCCCGCUCUUUGUGCUUUUUUGACUUUUUCUUUCAUUUAUCUUGAAGGCUCAUCUCCAAGUGUAUUUGCAUUGGUCCAAGCUAAAGACCAGGCUCCCCAAAGACCCAUAUCCUAGCCUCUUGGAGAGAGAACACGGCACAAGAUACAAGAAAAGAAAAGCUUACAGCACCUGGUAUUCCCAGGCGGUCUCCCAUCCAAGUACUAACCAGGCCCGACCCUGCUUAGCUUCCGAGAUCGGACGAGAUCGGGCGUGUUCAGGGUGGUAUGGCCGUAAGCGAUGACACAGGCUCCAAAUGAGCUAUUUCAACGUGCUCCUGUGUGGUUCUCUCAAUUAUAAUCAGCAUUUCACUUUCAAUGAACAAUGCGUCGCUCAAGAAAACACCCGGAUACGCAGUCAAGCUUAGUUUUACAGCCUAUCUCUGCAGUCCAUCAUGCUCCACUCCUUUGCUCCGCUUCAUGACAAGAUCUCAGUCCUCCCGCUCUUUGUGCUUUUUUGACUCUUUCUUUCAUUUAUCUUGAAGGCUCAUCUCCAAGUGUAUUUGCAUUGGUCCAAGCUAAAGACCAGGCUCCCCAAAGACCCAUAUCCUAGCCUCUUGGAGAGAGAACACGGCACAAGAUACAAGAAAAGAAAAGCUUACAGCACCUGGUAUUCCCAGGCGGUCUCCCAUCCAAGUACUAACCAGGCCCGACCCUGCUUAGCUUCCGAGAUCGGACGAGAUCGGGCGUGUUCAGGGUGGUAUGGCCGUAAGCGAUGACACAGGCUCCAAAUGAGCUAUUUGAACGUGCUCCUGUGUGGUUCUCUCAAUUAUAAUCAGCAUUUCACUUUCAAUGAACAAUGCGUCGCUCAAGAAAACACCCGGAUACGCAGUCAAGCUUAGUUUUACAGCCUAUCUCUGCAGUCCAUCAUGCUCCACUCCUUUGCUCCGCUUCAUGACAAGAUCUCAGUCCUCCCGCUCUUUGUGCUUUUUUGACUCUUUCUUUCAUUUAUCUUGAAGGCUCAUCUCCAAGUGUAUUUGCAUUGGUCCAAGCUAAAGACCAGGCUCCCCAAAGACCCAUAUCCUAGCCUCUUGGAGAGAGAACACGGCACAAGAUACAAGAAAAGAAAAGCUUACAGCACCUGGUAUUCCCAGGCGGUCUCCCAUCCAAGUACUAACCAGGCCCGACCCUGCUUAGCUUCCGAGAUCGGACGAGAUCGGGCGUGUUCAGGGUGGUAUGGCCGUAAGCGAUGACACAGGCUCCAAAUGAGCUAUUUCAACGUGCUCCUGUGUGGUUCUCUCAAUUAUAAUCAGCAUUUCACUUUCAAUGAACAAUGCGUCGCUCAAGAAAACACCCGGAUACGCAGUCAAGCUUAGUUUUACAGCCUAUCUCUGCAGUCCAUCAUGCUCCACUCCUUUGCUCCGCUUCAUGACAAGAUCUCAGUCCUCCCGCUCUUUGUGCUUUUUUGACUCUUUCUUUCAUUUAUCUUGAAGGCUCAUCUCCAAGUGUAUUUGCAUUGGUCCAAGCUAAAGACCAGGCUCCCCAAAGACCCAUAUCCUAGCCUCUUGGAGAGAGAACACGGCACAAGAUACAAGAAAAGAAAAGCUUACAGCACCUGGUAUUCCCAGGCGGUCUCCCAUCCAAGUACUAACCAGGCCCGACCCUGCUUAGCUUCCGAGAUCGGACGAGAUCGGGCGUGUUCAGGGUGGUAUGGCCGUAAGCGAUGACACAGGCUCCAAAUGAGCUAUUUCAACGUGCUCCUGUGUGGUUCUCUCAAUUAUAAUCAGCAUUUCACUUUCAAUGAACAAUGCGUCGCUCAAGAAAACACCCGGAUACGCAGUCAAGCUUAGUUUUACAGCCUAUCUCUGCAGUCCAUCAUGCUCCACUCCUUUGCUCCGCUUCAUGACAAGAUCUCAGUCCUCCCGCUCUUUGUGCUUUUUUGACUCUUUCUUUCAUUUAUCUUGAAGGCUCAUCUCCAAGUGUAUUUGCAUUGGUCCAAGCUAAAGACCAGGCUCCCCAAAGACCCAUAUCCUAGCCUCUUGGAGAGAGAACACGGCACAAGAUACAAGAAAAGAAAAGCUUACAGCACCUGGUAUUCCCAGGCGGUCUCCCAUCCAAGUACUAACCAGGCCCGACCCUGCUUAGCUUCCGAGAUCGGACGAGAUCGGGCGUGUUCAGGGUGGUAUGGCCGUAAGCGAUGACACAGGCUCCAAAUGAGCUAUUUGAACGUGCUCCUGUGUGGUUCUCUCAAUUAUAAUCAGCAUUUCACUUUCAAUGAACAAUGCGUCGCUCAAGAAAACACCCGGAUACGCAGUCAAGCUUAGUUUUACAGCCUAUCUCUGCAGUCCAUCAUGCUCCACUCCUUUGCUCCGCUUCAUGACAAGAUCUCAGUCCUCCCGCUCUUUGUGCUUUUUUGACUUUUUCUUUCAUUUAUCUUGAAGGCUCAUCUCCAAGUGUAUUUGCAUUGGUCCAAGCUAAAGACCAGGCUCCCCAAAGACCCAUAUCCUAGCCUCUUGGAGAGAGAACACGGCACAAGAUACAAGAAAAGAAAAGCUUACAGCACCUGGUAUUCCCAGGCGGUCUCCCAUCCAAGUACUAACCAGGCCCGACCCUGCUUAGCUUCCGAGAUCGGACGAGAUCGGGCGUGUUCAGGGUGGUAUGGCCGUAAGCGAUGACACAGGCUCCAAAUGAGCUAUUUCAACGUGCUCCUGUGUGGUUCUCUCAAUUAUAAUCAGCAUUUCACUUUCAAUGAACAAUGCGUCGCUCAAGAAAACACCCGGAUACGCAGUCAAGCUUAGUUUUACAGCCUAUCUCUGCAGUCCAUCAUGCUCCACUCCUUUGCUCCGCUUCAUGACAAGAUCUCAGUCCUCCCGCUCUUUGUGCUUUUUUGACUCUUUCUUUCAUUUAUCUUGAAGGCUCAUCUCCAAGUGUAUUUGCAUUGGUCCAAGCUAAAGACCAGGCUCCCCAAAGACCCAUAUCCUAGCCUCUUGGAGAGAGAACACGGCACAAGAUACAAGAAAAGAAAAGCUUCAGCACCUGGUAUUCCCAGGCGGUCUCCCAUCCAAGUACUAACCAGGCCCGACCCUGCUUAGCUUCCGAGAUCGGACGAGAUCGGGCGUGUUCAGGGUGGUAUGGCCGUAAGCGAUGACACAGGCUCCAAAUGAGCUAUUUGAACGUGCUCCUGUGUGGUUCUCUCAAUUAUAAUCAGCAUUUCACUUUCAAUGAACAAUGCGUCGCUCAAGAAAACACCCGGAUACGCAGUCAAGCUUAGUUUUACAGCCUAUCUCUGCAGUCCAUCAUGCUCCACUCCUUUGCUCCGCUUCAUGACAAGAUCUCAGUCCUCCCGCUCUUUGUGCUUUUUUGACUCUUUCUUUCAUUUAUCUUGAAGGCUCAUCUCCAAGUGUAUUUGCAUUGGUCCAAGCUAAAGACCAGGCUCCCCAAAGACCCAUAUCCUACCCUCUUGGAGAGGGAAUACGGCACAAGAUACAAGAAAAGAAAAGCUUACAGCACCUGGUAUUCCCAGGCGGUCUCCCAUCCAAGUACUAACCAGGCCCGACCCUGCUUAGCUUCCGAGAUCGGACGAGAUCGGGCGUGUUCAGGGUGGUAUGGCCGUAAGCGAUGACACAGGCUCCAAAUGAGCUAUUUCAACGUGCUCCUGUGUGGUUCUCUCAAUUAUAAUCAGCAUUUCACUUUCAAUGAACAAUGCGUCGCUCAAGAAAACACCCGGAUACGCAGUCAAGCUUAGUUUUACAGCCUAUCUCUGCAGUCCAUCAUGCUCCACUCCUUUGCUCCGCUUCAUGACAAGAUCUCAGUCCUCCCGCUCUUUGUGCUUUUUUGACUCUUUCUUUCAUUUAUCUUGAAGGCUCAUCUCCAAGUGUAUUUGCAUUGGUCCAAGCUAAAGACCAGGCUCCCCAAAGACCCAUAUCCUAGCCUCUUGGAGAGAGAACACGGCACAAGAUACAAGAAAAGAAAAGCUUACAGCACCUGGUAUUCCCAGGCGGUCUCCCAUCCAAGUACUAACCAGGCCCGACCCUGCUUAGCUUCCGAGAUCGGACGAGAUCGGGCGUGUUCAGGGUGGUAUGGCCGUAAGCGAUGACACAGGCUCCAAAUGAGCUAUUUCAACGUGCUCCUGUGUGGUUCUCUCAAUUAUAAUCAGCAUUUCACUUUCAAUGAACAAUGCGUCGCUCAAGAAAACACCCGGAUACGCAGUCAAGCUUAGUUUUACAGCCUAUCUCUGCAGUCCAUCAUGCUCCACUCCUUUGCUCCGCUUCAUGACAAGAUCUCAGUCCUCCCGCUCUUUGUGCUUUUUUGACUCUUUCUUUCAUUUAUCUUGAAGGCUCAUCUCCAAGUGUAUUUGCAUUGGUCCAAGCUAAAGACCAGGCUCCCCAAAGACCCAUAUCCUAGCCUCUUGGAGAGAGAACACGGCACAAGAUACAAGAAAAGAAAAGCUUACAGCACCUGGUAUUCCCAGGCGGUCUCCCAUCCAAGUACUAACCAGGCCCGACCCUGCUUAGCUUCCGAGAUCGGACGAGAUCGGGCGUGUUCAGGGUGGUAUGGCCGUAAGCGAUGACACAGGCUCCAAAUGAGCUAUUUCAACGUGCUCCUGUGUGGUUCUCUCAAUUAUAAUCAGCAUUUCACUUUCAAUGAACAAUGCGUCGCUCAAGAAAACACCCGGAUACGCAGUCAAGCUUAGUUUUACAGCCUAUCUCUGCAGUCCAUCAUGCUCCACUCCUUUGCUCCGCUUCAUGACAAGAUCUCAGUCCUCCCGCUCUUUGUGCUUUUUUGACUUUUUCUUUCAUUUAUCUUGAAGGCUCAUCUCCAAGUGUAUUUGCAUUGGUCCAAGCUAAAGACCAGGCUCCCCAAAGACCCAUAUCCUAGCCUCUUGGAGAGAGAACACGGCACAAGAUACAAGAAAAGAAAAGCUUACAGCACCUGGUAUUCCCAGGCGGUCUCCCAUCCAAGUACUAACCAGGCCCGACCCUGCUUAGCUUCCGAGAUCGGACGAGAUCGGGCGUGUUCAGGGUGGUAUGGCCGUAAGCGAUGACACAGGCUCCAAAUGAGCUAUUUCAACGUGCUCCUGUGUGGUUCUCUCAAUUAUAAUCAGCAUUUCACUUUCAAUGAACAAUGCGUCGCUCAAGAAAACACCCGGAUACGCAGUCAAGCUUAGUUUUACAGCCUAUCUCUGCAGUCCAUCAUGCUCCACUCCUUUGCUCCGCUUCAUGACAAGAUCUCAGUCCUCCCGCUCUUUGUGCUUUUUUGACUUUUUCUUUCAUUUAUCUUGAAGGCUCAUCUCCAAGUGUAUUUGCAUUGGUCCAAGCUAAAGACCAGGCUCCCCAAAGACCCAUAUCCUAGCCUCUUGGAGAGAGAACACGGCACAAGAUACAAGAAAAGAAAAGCUUACAGCACCUGGUAUUCCCAGGCGGUCUCCCAUCCAAGUACUAACCAGGCCCGACCCUGCUUAGCUUCCGAGAUCGGACGAGAUCGGGCGUGUUCAGGGUGGUAUGGCCGUAAGCGAUGACACAGGCUCCAAAUGAGCUAUUUCAACGUGCUCCUGUGUGGUUCUCUCAAUUAUAAUCAGCAUUUCACUUUCAAUGAACAAUGCGUCGCUCAAGAAAACACCCGGAUACGCAGUCAAGCUUAGUUUUACAGCCUAUCUCUGCAGUCCAUCAUGCUCCACUCCUUUGCUCCGCUUCAUGACAAAGAUCUCAGUCCUCCCGCUCUUUGUGCUUUUUUGACUCUUUCUUUCAUUUAUCUUGAAGGCUCAUCUCCAAGUGUAUUUGCAUUGGUCCAAGCUAAAGACCAGGCUCCCCAAAGACCCAUAUCCUAGCCUCUUGGAGAGAGAACACGGCACAAGAUACAAGAAAAGAAAAGCUUACAGCACCUGGUAUUCCCAGGCGGUCUCCCAUCCAAGUACUAACCAGGCCCGACCCUGCUUAGCUUCCGAGAUCGGACGAGAUCGGGCGUGUUCAGGGUGGUAUGGCCGUAAGCGAUGACACAGGCUCCAAAUGAGCUAUUUCAACGUGCUCCUGUGUGGUUCUCUCAAUUAUAAUCAGCAUUUCACUUUCAAUGAACAAUGCGUCGCUCAAGAAAACACCCGGAUACGCAGUCAAGCUUAGUUUUACAGCCUAUCUCUGCAGUCCAUCAUGCUCCACUCCUUUGCUCCGCUUCAUGACAAGAUCUCAGUCCUCCCGCUCUUUGUGCUUUUUUGACUCUUUCUUUCAUUUAUCUUGAAGGCUCAUCUCCAAGUGUAUUUGCAUUGGUCCAAGCUAAAGACCAGGCUCCCCAAAGACCCAUAUCCUAGCCUCUUGGAGAGAGAACACGGCACAAGAUACAAGAAAAGAAAAGCUUACAGCACCUGGUAUUCCCAGGCGGUCUCCCAUCCAAGUACUAACCAGGCCCGACCCUGCUUAGCUUCCGAGAUCGGACGAGAUGGGGCGUGUUCAGGGUGGUAUGGCCGUAAGCGAUGACACAGGCUCCAAAUGAGCUAUUUGAACGUGCUCCUGUGUGGUUCUCUCAAUUAUAAUCAGCAUUUCACUUUCAAUGAACAAUGCGUCGCUCAAGAAAACACCCGGAUACGCAGUCAAGCUUAGUUUUACAGCCUAUCUCUGCAGUCCAUCAUGCUCCACUCCUUUGCUCCGCUUCAUGACAAGAUCUCAGUCCUCCCGCUCUUUGUGCUUUUUUGACUCUUUCUUUCAUUUAUCUUGAAGGCUCAUCUCCAAGUGUAUUUGCAUUGGUCCAAGCUAAAGACCAGGCUCCCCAAAGACCCAUAUCCUAGCCUCUUGGAGAGAGAACACGGCACAAGAUACAAGAAAAGAAAAGCUUACAGCACCUGGUAUUCCCAGGCGGUCUCCCAUCCAAGUACUAACCAGGCCCGACCCUGCUUAGCUUCCGAGAUCGGACGAGAUCGGGCGUGUUCAGGGUGGUAUGGCCGUAAGCGAUGACACAGGCUCCAAAUGAGCUAUUUCAACGUGCUCCUGUGUGGUUCUCUCAAUUAUAAUCAGCAUUUCACUUUCAAUGAACAAUGCGUCGCUCAAGAAAACACCCGGAUACGCAGUCAAGCUUAGUUUUACAGCCUAUCUCUGCAGUCCAUCAUGCUCCACUCCUUUGCUCCGCUUCAUGACAAGAUCUCAGUCCUCCCGCUCUUUGUGCUUUUUUGACUCUUUCUUUCAUUUAUCUUGAAGGCUCAUCUCCAAGUGUAUUUGCAUUGGUCCAAGCUAAAGACCAGGCUCCCCAAAGACCCAUAUCCUAGCCUCUUGGAGAGAGAACACGGCACAAGAUACAAGAAAAGAAAAGCUUACAGCACCUGGUAUUCCCAGGCGGUCUCCCAUCCAAGUACUAACCAGGCCCGACCCUGCUUAGCUUCCGAGAUCGGACGAGAUCGGGCGUGUUCAGGGUGGUAUGGCCGUAAGCGAUGACACAGGCUCCAAAUGAGCUAUUUCAACGUGCUCCUGUGUGGUUCUCUCAAUUAUAAUCAGCAUUUCACUUUCAAUGAACAAUGCGUCGCUCAAGAAAACACCCGGAUACGCAGUCAAGCUUAGUUUUACAGCCUAUCUCUGCAGUCCAUCAUGCUCCACUCCUUUGCUCCACUUCAUGACAAGAUCUCAGUCCUCCCGCUCUUUGUGCUUUUUUGACUCAUUCUUUCAUUUAUCUUGAAGGCUCAUCUCCAAGUGUAUUUGCAUUGGUCCAAGCUAAAGACCAGGCUCCCCAAAGACCCAUAUCCUAGCCUC
Molecule: non-coding RNA, 25648 nt
Organism: Xyrichtys novacula (pearly razorfish)
Lineage: Eukaryota; Metazoa; Chordata; Actinopteri; Labriformes; Labridae
Source: the annotation of a GenBank genome assembly